GAUGAACGCUGGCGGCGUGCCUUAGGCAUGCAAGUCGAACGAAAAGUAGCAAUACUUUUAGUGGCAGACGGGUGAGUAACACGUAGGAAUCUACCCUUUGGUGAGGAAUAACGGUUCGAAAGGACCGCUAAUACCACAUAAGUCCGUAAGGAGAAAGACCGUAACUGGUCGCCGAUGGAGGAGCCUGCGUCCUAUCAGCUUGUUGGUGAGGUAAUGGCUCACCAAGGCUAUGACGGGUAGGGGGCGUGAGAGCGUGGCCCCCCACAAGGACACUGAGACACGGGUCCUACACCUACGGGUGGCAGCAACCGGGAAUAUUGCGCAAUGGAGGAAACUCUGACGCAGCGACGCCGCGUGCGGGAUGAAGGCCUUCGGGUUGUAAACCGCUGUGGAGAGGGAUGAAUUUUGACAGUACCUCUCUAGAAAGCACCUGCUAACUACGUGCCAGAAGCCUCGGUAAUACGUAGGGUGCAAGCGUUAUCCGGAUUUACUGGGCGUAAAGCGUCCGUAGGCGGUAUGGUAAGUGGUGGGUUAAAGACUCUGGCUCAACUAGAGAAAAGCUCGUCAAACUGCCAAACUAGAGCUAGUUCGGGGAUACUGGAAUUCUCG
RNAcentral lists this ribosomal RNA (609 nucleotides) under uncultured bacterium. Its description in RNAcentral is "bacterial SSU rRNA". It matches the Rfam family "Bacterial small subunit ribosomal RNA", at positions 28 to 672 of the family's 1533-position model. The record is from RNAcentral.